This 497-nucleotide ribosomal RNA is filed under the name uncultured bacterium. RNAcentral describes it as "partial 16S ribosomal RNA". It matches the Rfam family "Bacterial small subunit ribosomal RNA", at positions 28 to 507 of the family's 1533-position model. The record is from RNAcentral.
GAUGAACGCUGGCGGCGUGCCUAAUACAUGCAAGUCGAGCGAACAGACGAGGAGCUUGCUCCUCUGACGUUAGCGGCGGACGGGUGAGUAACACGUGGAUAACCCACCUAUAAGACUGGGAUAACUUCGGGAAACCGGAGCUAAUACCGGAUAAUAUAUUGAACCGCAUGGUUCAAUAGUGAAAGACGGUUUUGCUGUCACUUAUAGAUGGAUCCGCGCCGCAUUAGCUAGUUGGUAAGGUAACGGCUUACCAAGGCAACGAUGCGUAGCCGACCUGAGAGGGUGAUAGGCCACACUGGAACUGAGACACGGUCCAGACUCCUACGGGAGGCAGCAGUAGGGAAUCUUCCGCAAUGGGCGAAAGCCUGACGGAGCAACGCCGCGUGAGUGAUGAAGGUCUUCGGAUCGUAAAACUCUGUUAUUAGGGAAGAACAAAUGUGUAAGUAACUAUGCACGUCUUGACGGUACCUAAUCAGAAAGCCACGGCUAACUACGUG